This 372-nucleotide ribosomal RNA is filed under the name uncultured organism. RNAcentral describes it as "bacterial SSU rRNA". It matches the Rfam family "Bacterial small subunit ribosomal RNA", at positions 526 to 896 of the family's 1533-position model. The record is from RNAcentral.
CGUACCGUCCAAACGUUAUUCGGAAUUACUGGGCUUAAAGGGUACGUAGGCGGCGCUGUCAGUCGGGUGUGAAAUCCCACGGCUCAACCGUGGAACUGCGCCCGAUACUGCAGUGCUUGAGGGAGACAGAGGUAAGCGGAACUGAUGGUGGAGCGGUGAAAUGCGUUGAUAUCAUCAGGAACACCAGUGGCGAAAGCGGCUUACUGGGUCUCUUCUGACGCUGAGGUACGAAAGCUAGGGGAGCGAAGGGGAUUAGAUACCCCCGUAGUCCUAGCUGUAAACGUUGAGCACUUGAUCGUGGGCCCCCCCAUAGGCUCUCGGUCGUAGCGAAAGUGUUAAGUGCUCCGCCUGGGGAGUAUGGUCGCAAGGCUG